Molecule: long non-coding RNA, 379 nt
Organism: Cyprinus carpio carpio
Lineage: Eukaryota; Metazoa; Chordata; Actinopteri; Cypriniformes; Cyprinidae
Source: Ensembl
GUGUAAGUUACAAGCUCAAUCAAUGGAAGCUGGCCAGGAGAAAAGGUCCUUCAGGUGCAGGAAUCAGAUGCAAUGAUGAUGAAGAGGCUCGCAGAACCAUCAUCUGCUUCUUUGGACACACUGGUUGAUGAUCCCUGAUUCUCAGAGGUACAUCGUGGUGAAUUGGUCAAGUGGACUUUUACCUUGCAUGGCCCUGUACAAAGCCGUAUGACCAUCUGCCUGCACUCUGAGCCGAGGUAGCAUGAGGAUAGACAGAGGCAUGAGUGCAGAGCGGCAGUAUUUCCUCCUGGAAGUGGGCUGUGACUGAUCAGCGAUGCACAAUCUGUACCUGCGUCUGUAGCGCUGAGAUAACAGGAAGAACGGCGGUGGAGGAGUGGAG